CUACGAUAGAACCCCAACACCCAUGCAGGAAGCAGAGAUCUGCUUCCCCACACAUGCGGACCCAGGACGCCAUGCAUGAACAGAGGUCUCCAAACAGAUGCUGAAUAGGACAGAAAAAGGCUCCUGCAGACUCGCUAAGAAGAAAUAAUCCUCUCCGACAAGUUAUGUUAUCUAGGCAUGUUUUUGCACUAGUAUGCUGUGGCUUCCAUGAAGAGCUUGUUUGCGUGCACUCAAGCCUGGCUGGCGUUGGUUCUCCUAAUUACCAUCUUAAAAACUGGAACGAUUUUAAGCAACUCAGUGACCUUUCAUACAUAAAAUAGCAAAACCAAUCUCACAGUUUCACUAUCAACUAUCAGCGAAGCAUCACAGAGGACUGAGAUUUGAACAGGUCAGCGUGCUCAAAAGGGUUUUUGCCUCUCUUUUCUGGGACACUGCAUUCACAGUUGGAUUCAUCUGUUCUCUUCUCUUGUCCUCAGAAAGAGUGACAAGGUCAAGACCCUUAGCCCCACCCUGGAUCAUAGAUGCGGAGAGGAGAGCCUGGAGGACUCGGAAGUGCUUUAACUCUGUGCACGCCAGAGUUCUUACAAAUUAGAGCUUCAUUUACUGAAAUCAGGGCAUCAAAGAAACAGGCAACGCAAGGAUUGUUUGGUCACACUGAAUACCUCAUUGACAGAUAUAGCAGCUUCAUCCCCAAAAGGCCAAUGAGUGGCUUUUUUUCCAAAAUAAGAAAAUUUGCUACUCUGCUUCACUGUAUUCUCGGGGCUUUGCACGUAGAGUUCACCGGAGAAAUACACACCCUCCUUCUGUUUAUUGGAAAAGGAAGAAUUCCACGCGUAAUUACCCAAGCCAAACAGAUACGAGAGUCACAGAAUGAAUAUACGAAAAUGAGUGCCCUUGCCAAGAAUGCUGUCGUAUGAAAUCCAACAUGUCCCUUUGAAGUAGGAAAAGCAUCAUGUAAAUUAACUUGGAUCCAGAGAGACCUUGGGGAAAUAGAGUGUGACCCUCUUCCCCUUGUGGCUUGUGCUGGGUGUUGGAGCGGAAGGCUCUUGGCCUCUCUGUAGCUCUCUUUGCCCUAUAGUUAAAUGAAGCCAAAGGCUGCUAAUUUAUUUUAAAGGACGUGAAGAACCUGUAAUAAAACUGGGUGUGUUUGGUCAGUGUAAAUAUUAAUAAAAAGUGGAACGGUUGUAUGAGUAUCCGACAAAAGUUUGGUAGGAAAGAGCAAAAAUACAAGGCUCAGGUUACUGCUCUGAUAGUCCAUGCAACUCUUCCUACAUUUCAAUAAACUAUAAAUCCAUCCAUAGUAGUAACGACCAGAAUUGAACCAAACCACUGAAUCUUUUACAUGUAGCCACUUCCUUUGUAAAGCUGAGACCUAACUAACGGGAGCACCACUGAGGUAAAGGCUCACUGCUCCACCCCAAUUCUAUCAAGAUGACAGACUGAGGACCUUGUGCAUGUGCUGAGGGUGGGAUUGUUAAAUGAGUGGAUAGAACAUGGAUGUCAUUUAAAAUAUUUGCAUAGUGUAUAGGAAGUUUGUGACCCCGAAUGUACAACGAAUUAACCUCUGUUCUUCCUUACACAUCCAAUAGGCUUCCUUUCUCUCAGCUUGAGUCUUCUUACUGAAUAUUGAUCAAAUAAGUAUUUGUUAAAAAAUAAAUUACCAUUUUAACCAUUGAAACGGGGGAAAGGUUUUCAAGGUUUGCAUUUUUCUUUAUAAAUAGGAAAAAAAAAACUUCCCCACUUUAGGUAUGAGUUGGCACAAACGACAACUCAGGAAAGUUCCUUUCACACUAGUGUGCUCUAAACUUCGAGGUCUCUUUGUAUUUCAGGCAUCCCCCAACACUGAUAGAGGUGGCAUAGUGUUAC
This is a long non-coding RNA of Meriones unguiculatus (Mongolian gerbil), 1866 nucleotides long. RefSeq lists it as uncharacterized. Lineage: Eukaryota; Metazoa; Chordata; Mammalia; Rodentia; Muridae. The transcript has 3 exons. The record is from RefSeq and is a predicted model, not a curated record.